CAUGGAGGGUGAGAAUCCCGUCCGGUUGAUCAUUUGCGUUUUACGAUACGCUCUCUAAGAGUCAAGUUGUUUGGGAUUGCAGCUUAAAAUGGGAGGUAAAUUUCUCCUAAGGCUAAAUAACGGCGAGAGACCGAUAGCGAACAAGUACCGUGAGGGAAAGAUGAAAAGAACUUUGAAAAGAGAGUUAAACAGUACGUGAAAUUGUUGAAAGGGAAACGAUUGAAGCCAGUCGUACCUUCGGGUAAUCAGCCUUUCGGGUGCGAUUCUGUGGGGUUUGAGGAGCUUAACACCUUCAUGCUUUGCAUAUUCGUGCUCUUGGGUGUACUUGCCCGUGUGGUUGGUUAACAUCAAUUUUGGUGGUCAUAAAAUGACUGGAGGAAUGUAGCUUCGAUCUCGUAUUGAAGUGUUAUAGCCUUCGGUAGAUGUGAUGAUCGAGAUUGAGGAUUGCAACGGAUACCCUUCGGGGCUACCUGUCUGGUCUCUGAUCGUUGCUCUGGUGCCGAAAGCUUGCUUACGGUUAUCAAAGUCGAUGGUCAAUAGGUUAGAACGGGUUAAAUUCGUUAAGGAUGUUGACGUAAUGG
RNAcentral lists this ribosomal RNA (581 nucleotides) under uncultured Rhizophagus. Its description in RNAcentral is "LSU rRNA". It matches the Rfam family "Eukaryotic large subunit ribosomal RNA", at positions 204 to 637 of the family's 3401-position model. Lineage: Eukaryota; Fungi; Glomeromycota; Glomeromycetes; Glomerales; Glomeraceae. The record is from RNAcentral.